Molecule: transfer RNA, 84 nt
Filed under: Mustela putorius furo (domestic ferret)
Lineage: Eukaryota; Metazoa; Chordata; Mammalia; Carnivora; Mustelidae
Rfam family: tRNA
About the family: Transfer RNA (tRNA) molecules are approximately 80 nucleotides in length. Their secondary structure includes four short double-helical elements and three loops (D, anti-codon, and T loops).
Source: Rfam by way of RNAcentral
GCCUGAGUGGCUCAGUGGGUUAAGCCUCUGACUUCAGCUCAGGACAUGAUCUCAGGGUCCUGGGAUCGAGCCCCACAUCAGGCU